ACAUUCUCUAGAAAGUAUUCUGAAGUACUGCCACUAAGGUAAAGGUGCUAACUUGCAAGGAGCUGUUCUCAAAACAUUGGGUGACAAAGAAUUCACUUUUACAAAAAUCGAGCAGGAUAUUAAAGACAGCGAACUAUAGAACAAAUAUGGCGAAGCUGCAUGAAGUCUAUGUUGAAUUUUAUUAUUGAAAAAAAAUAUGCUCUUCAGAUUUAAUGUUAGUUUUUAUUGUUUAACAGUAAUUGCAGUUUUCGAAUACCUGUAAAAUAAACCUAAUUCUUAAAUUAA
RNAcentral lists this long non-coding RNA (285 nucleotides) under Stegodyphus dumicola. Its description in RNAcentral is "uncharacterized LOC118200796, transcript variant X1". The record is from RNAcentral. Lineage: Eukaryota; Metazoa; Arthropoda; Arachnida; Araneae; Eresidae.